RNAcentral lists this transfer RNA (74 nucleotides) under Stegodyphus dumicola. RNAcentral's name for it is "tRNA-Asn". It matches the Rfam family "tRNA". From Rfam's summary of the family: Transfer RNA (tRNA) molecules are approximately 80 nucleotides in length. The record is from RNAcentral. Lineage: Eukaryota; Metazoa; Arthropoda; Arachnida; Araneae; Eresidae.
GCCUCCGUGGCGCAAUCGGCUAGCGCGUUCGGCUGUUAACCGAAAGGUUGGUGGUUCGAACCCACCUGGGGGCG